RNAcentral lists this non-coding RNA (161 nucleotides) under uncultured Bilophila sp. The record is from RNAcentral. Lineage: Bacteria; Pseudomonadati; Thermodesulfobacteriota; Desulfovibrionia; Desulfovibrionales; Desulfovibrionaceae.
UUCAGGUGCCCGAAUCAUUCGGGAUAAUUGGGAAGUUCGUUCAAACCGACGCUGACCCGCAACCGUGAGAGGGGAUGAACCCGCCAGAGCCACUGUGGACGCCGUCCACGGGAAGGCGCGGGGGAAGAGGAACCUCAAGCCGGGAAACCAGCCUGAAGACA